Molecule: ribosomal RNA, 1443 nt
Filed under: metagenome
Description: bacterial SSU rRNA
Rfam family: Bacterial small subunit ribosomal RNA
Source: RNAcentral
AGAGUUUGAUCCUGGCUCAGGAUGAACGCUGGCGGCGUGCUUAACACAUGCAAGUCGAACGAACCUUCGGGUUAGUGGCGGACGGGUGAGUAACGCGUGAGAAUCUGCCCUCAGGAGGGGGAUAACGGCUGGAAACGGCCGCUAAUACCCCAUAUGCCGAGAGGUGAAAUGAAUUUCGCCUGAGGAUGAGCUCGCGUCUGAUUAGCUAGUUGGUGGGGUAAGAGCCUACCAAGGCAUCGAUCAGUAGCUGGUCUGAGAGGAUGAUCAGCCACACUGGGACUGAGACACGGCCCAGACUCCUACGGGAGGCAGCAGUGGGGAAUUUUCCGCAAUGGGCGAAAGCCUGACGGAGCAACGCCGCGUGAGGGAUGAAGGCCUCUGGGCUGUAAACCUCUUUUAUCAAGGAAGAAGAUCUGACGGUACUUGAUGAAUAAGCCACGGCUAAUUCCGUGCCAGCAGCCGCGGUAAUACGGGAGUGGCAAGCGUUAUCCGGAAUUAUUGGGCGUAAAGCGUCCGCAGGCGGCCUGAUAAGUCUGUUGUCAAAGCGUGGAGCUUAACUCCAUUUCGGCAAUGGAAACUGUGAGGCUUGAGUGUGGUAGGGGCAGAGGGAAUUCCCGGUGUAGCGGUGAAAUGCGUAGAUAUCGGGAAGAACACCAGUGGCGAAGGCGCUCUGCUGGGCCAUAACUGACGCUCAUGGACGAAAGCCAGGGGAGCGAAAGGGAUUAGAUACCCCUGUAGUCCUGGCCGUAAACGAUGAACACUAGGUGUCGGGGGAAUCGACCCCCUCGGUGUCGUAGCCAACGCGUUAAGUGUUCCGCCUGGGGAGUACGCACGCAAGUGUGAAACUCAAAGGAAUUGACGGGGGCCCGCACAAGCGGUGGAGUAUGUGGUUUAAUUCGAUGCAACGCGAAGAACCUUACCAGGGUUUGACAUCCUGCGAAUCCCUUGGAAACUUGGGAGUGCCUUCGGGAGCGCAGAGACAGGUGGUGCAUGGCUGUCGUCAGCUCGUGUCGUGAGAUGUUGGGUUAAGUCCCGCAACGAGCGCAACCCACGUCUUUAGUUGCCAGCAUUGAGUUGGGCACUCUAGAGAGACCGCCGGUGAUAAACCGGAGGAAGGUGUGGAUGACGUCAAGUCAUCAUGCCCCUUACAUCCUGGGCUACACACGUACUACAAUGCUACGGACAAAGGGCAGCAAACUCGCGAGAGCUAGCAAAUCCCAUAAACCGUGGCUCAGUUCAGAUCGUAGGCUGCAACUCGCCUACGUGAAGGAGGAAUCGCUAGUAAUCGCAGGUCAGCAUACUGCGGUGAAUACGUUCCCGGGCCUUGUACACACCGCCCGUCACACCAUGGAAGUUGGCCACGCCCGAAGCCGUUACUCCAACCCUUGUGGAGGAGGACGUCGAAGGUGGGGCUGAUGACUGGGGUGAAGUCGGAACAAGGUA